UGAGGAAUAUUGGUCAAUGGGCGAGAGCCUGAACCAGCCAAGUAGCGUGCAGGAUGACGGCCCUAUGGGUUGUAAACUGCUUUUAUGUGAGGAUAAAGUGCGUGACGUGUCAUGCAUUGCAGGUACCACAUGAAUAAGGACCGGCUAAUUCCGUGCCAGCAGCCGCGGUAAUACGGAAGGUCCGGGCGUUAUCCGGAGUUAUUGGGUUUAAAGGGAGCGUAGGCUGUCUAUUAAGCGUGUUGUGAAAUUUACCGGCUCAACCGGUGGCUUGCAGCGCGAACUGGUCGACUUGAGUAUGCAGGAAGUAGGCGGAAUUCAUGGUGUAGCGGUGAAAUGCUUAGAUAUCAUGACGAACUCCGAUUGCGCAGGCAGCUUACUGUAGCAUAACUGACGCUGAUGCUCGAAAGUGCGGGUAUCAAACAGG
This 424-nucleotide ribosomal RNA is filed under the name Verrucomicrobiota bacterium. RNAcentral's name for it is "Verrucomicrobia bacterium partial 16S ribosomal RNA". It matches the Rfam family "Bacterial small subunit ribosomal RNA", at positions 355 to 776 of the family's 1533-position model. The record is from RNAcentral. Lineage: Bacteria; Pseudomonadati; Verrucomicrobiota.